Molecule: long non-coding RNA, 1463 nt
Organism: Capra hircus (goat)
Lineage: Eukaryota; Metazoa; Chordata; Mammalia; Artiodactyla; Bovidae
Exons: 3
Source: RefSeq, a predicted model, not a curated record
CACUAGUGCCAUCUGGGAAGCUCCACCUGCCCCUAAGAUGAAGAGAUUUGCAGCUGGCAAGCCCAGCAGCCCGGCAUGGAUCAAAUCUGUUAUAGCUCUCAGCACAUUUCAUCCUCACGAAAGACCUAUGACCCAGCAGACACUCAGCACCAGGAUUUUGAGGUCUGAGCUGGUGAUGCAGAGACGUGUAUUCACCUGGAACAUCUGGAGCACUAUCUACGCCUUACCUGGCUCCCAAGGGUGGCCCUGAAGUGUGGGUCCUGCCGCCUGACCCUUCAAGACAAAGACGUCACUGCCUAAAAGUUAAGCUGUGGCUUCAGAAAGCGCCUUUGUUCUCUGCUCCUGUUCUGCCAAAGUGAGAAAAUGAUCAGAAUCACGUGGUGAGUCUUGGUUCCCCAUUUUGUUUGUCCAAGUUGAUGUUUCCCAUUUGCCACAAUAGCACAAAAAAAAAAAAAAAGAAAGAAAGAAAGAAAAAUCGAAACUGCUUCACUUCCUCUUCCCUCGAGACCCAACAUGACAAUCCCAAUUGCCCUCCAGAGGCCUACUGCACAUCACACAAGCAGCAGAGUCUUCAGAAGGCAAGAAGGUGUCUCUUCAAGGCUUGGAAACAGGAUGAGAGCUGGGACCGCAGGAAGCAGGCAUCAGACCCAGCCUCCGAGGGCCUCCGAGAGCCCGCCUCUUACAACACCUCCCCUGUCCCCACCUCGCAUGGGAGCAGAUCGUUCAACUUCUUAAUUAGUUAUUGUGGGAGGAAUCAUUCACAUGGCUGAAUUAUUUUUCCUUCUCAUUUAGUCCUUUUUGUCUUGCUCUUUAAAACAAAGUCCAAACAGACUUUGGGCCCCAUGAUCAUCUAGGAAGGGAUGGUUCGAUGGUUUGGAAGCUGGUUUUCUGAAAGCCCUGGUCCCAGGAAAGUUCAACGUUGCCAUAGUUUGCUAGGCCAACUGCGGAUGCACACACACACACACACACACACACACACACACACCCGGCUCCAGUUCUGCUCCGCUCCCCUACCCCCAACCCCAGGAAGCAGAUUUCUCAACCAGCAGGGCCUAGUAUGAGUCACGGGCAAUUCCGUUUUCUUUGGGGGCAUAAGACCUCCCUCUCGCUCUUGGGGCCACAAGCAGUUGCUGAGAAGGAGGUGUGGUCCUUAUCUCGAGGGAAAUUCCCACAUCUGUACCGCGGCAGGGGAAAGGCACAGUCUCUCUGCUCAACUGUCUGAGAGUCACGGAGGCCCUUGUUCCUGGUAAAGGCCUGUGUUCCUGGUCAAGGGCUGCGGUCUGGGGGACGUGCAGAUGGUGGGGGAACAGUGCGGGGAAGGAAGGCUUAUGUGAACCGUAGGCUCCUCAGGGGGUCUGCCCACGGUCACAUGAUGAUGGGGGAACGGUGUGUAUGACUCGUGGGGUGCAUGGGGGGUUAGUCUCUAUGUUGUGCCCAACUACUGUGAUCCCAUGAACUGUAGC